UUGAAUAAAUCUGGCGUUGGUUGUAGCUGGCUCUCCGGAGCAUGUGCACACCUCGUCACCUUUAUCUUUCCACCCGUGCACACACUGUAGUCCUGGAUACCUCUCGCUGAAAGGCGGAUGCGGAGGCUGCUGUCUGCUCGCAAGAGCAGGUCGGCUUCCUCUGAAUUUCCAGGUCUAUGCUUUUUACACACCCCAACCGAAUGUGAUAGAAUGUAGUCAUUGGGCCUUUGUGCCUAUAAACCUUAUA
Molecule: unclassified non-coding RNA, 247 nt
Filed under: uncultured Basidiomycota
Lineage: Eukaryota; Fungi; Basidiomycota
Description: sequence contains ITS1
Source: RNAcentral